UGCUGAGUAAACUCCUCAGUCUUUUGUUGG
RNAcentral lists this non-coding RNA (30 nucleotides) under Rattus norvegicus (Norway rat). Lineage: Eukaryota; Metazoa; Chordata; Mammalia; Rodentia; Muridae. The record is from RNAcentral.